RNAcentral lists this transfer RNA (72 nucleotides) under Oesophagostomum dentatum (nodular worm). It matches the Rfam family "tRNA". Rfam says of the family: Transfer RNA (tRNA) molecules are approximately 80 nucleotides in length. Lineage: Eukaryota; Metazoa; Nematoda; Chromadorea; Rhabditida; Strongylidae. The record is from Rfam by way of RNAcentral.
GGAUCAUUGGGUCAGGGGCAGAUCGUCUGUCUAGUAAACAGAAGGUCGCUGGUUCGAUUCCAGCAUGAGGCA